Molecule: ribosomal RNA, 493 nt
Filed under: Proteiniphilum sp. enrichment culture clone F5
Lineage: Bacteria; Pseudomonadati; Bacteroidota; Bacteroidia; Bacteroidales; Dysgonomonadaceae
Description: bacterial SSU rRNA
Rfam family: Bacterial small subunit ribosomal RNA
Source: RNAcentral
GAUGAACGCUAGCGAUAGGCCUAACACAUGCAAGUCGAGGGGCAUCACAUGAAGCAGCAAUGCGGAUGGUGGCGGCCGGCGCACGGGUGAGUAACACGUAUGCAACCUGCCUACAACAGGGGGAUAACCCGUUGAAAGACGGACUAAUACCCCAUAAUACAGGGGUCCCGCAUGGGAAUAUUUGUUAAAGAUUAAUCGGUUGUAGAUGGGCAUGCGUUCCAUUAGCUAGUUGGUGAGGUAACGGCCCACCAAGGCAACGAUGGAUAGGGGAACUGAGAGGUUUAUCCCCCACACUGGUACUGAGACACGGACCAGACUCCUACGGGAGGCAGCAGUGAGGAAUAUUGGUCAAUGGACGCAAGUCUGAACCAGCCACGUCGCGUGAAGGAAGACGGCCCUACGGGUUGUAAACUUCUUUUGUAAGGGAAUAAAGUGUAGUACGUGUACUAUUUUUGCAUGUACCUUACGAAUAAGGAUCGGCUAACUCCGUGCC